GAUGAACGCUGGCGGCGUGCUUAACACAUGCAAGUCGAACGAAGCAUUUGCGACAGGUUUUUUCGGAAUGCAGUUGCUUAUGACUGAGUGGCGGACGGGUGAGUAACGCGUGGGUAACCUGCCUUGUACUGGGGGAUAGCAGCUGGAAACGGCUGGUAAUACCGCAUAAGCGCACAAUGUUGCAUGACAUGGUGUGAAAAACUCCGGUGGUAUAAGAUGGACCCGCGUCUGAUUAGCUAGUUGGUGAGAUAACAGCCCACCAAGGCGACGAUCAGUAGCCGACCUGAGAGGGUGACCGGCCACAUUGGGACUGAGACACGGCCCAGACUCCUACGGGAGGCAGCAGUGGGGAAUAUUGCACAAUGGAGGAAACUCUGAUGCAGCGACGCCGCGUGAGUGAAGAAGUAAUUCGUUAUGUAAAGCUCUAUCAGCAGGGAAGAUAGUGACGGUACCUGACGAAGAAGCUCCGGCUAAAUACGUG
This 481-nucleotide ribosomal RNA is filed under the name uncultured bacterium. Its description in RNAcentral is "partial 16S ribosomal RNA". It matches the Rfam family "Bacterial small subunit ribosomal RNA", at positions 28 to 507 of the family's 1533-position model. The record is from RNAcentral.